This 490-nucleotide ribosomal RNA is filed under the name uncultured bacterium. RNAcentral describes it as "partial 16S ribosomal RNA". It matches the Rfam family "Bacterial small subunit ribosomal RNA", at positions 29 to 507 of the family's 1533-position model. The record is from RNAcentral.
AUUGAACGCUGGCGGCAGGCCUAACACAUGCAAGUCGAAUGGUAACAGGAAACAGCUUGCUGUUUCGCUGACGAGUGGCGGACGGGUGAGUAAUGUCUGGGAAACUGCCUGAUGGAGGGGGAUAACUACUGGAAACGGUAGCUAAUACCGCAUAACGUCGCAAGACCAAAGAGGGGGACCUUCGGGCCUCUUGCCAUCAGAUGUGCCCAGAUGGGAUUAGCUAGUAGGUGGGGUAACGGCUCACCUAGGCGACGAUCCCUAGCUGGUCUGAGAGGAUGACGAGGCACACGGGAAGGGAGACACGGUCCAGACGCCUACGGGAGGCAGCAGGGGGGAAUAUGGGAAAAGGGGUGGAAGCUUGAUGAAGCAAUACGGCGGGGGUGAAGAAGGCAUUCGGGUUGGAAAGCACUUUGGGCGGGGAAGAAAAGAAGCAGGUUAAUACCGUGGUGGCCGGACGGGACCGAAAGAAGAAGCACCGGCUAACUUCGUG